This 1185-nucleotide long non-coding RNA is filed under the name Linum usitatissimum (flax). Its description in RNAcentral is "long non-coding RNA (LUSI_LNC007838)". Lineage: Eukaryota; Viridiplantae; Streptophyta; Magnoliopsida; Malpighiales; Linaceae. The record is from RNAcentral.
UUUUUAUAAUAAUUAACAGCUCAGCAAAAGUAGGCAAAGUGAGAGCUUCAAAACCACCAUUAUAAAAGAAAAAAUUAACAAAAUUCUACACAAUAAAAGAAACAAAAUCCUACUCAAAUAAAAAGUAAAUAAGUAAAAGCUAAGUCAUCAUCCAUUUUUAAUCGUAUAUGUGAUGAAUAUCUCAGCCCCAACCACGACAGGGACGCAUGCAGGUAAUCAGAAGAUAUGGGUGGAUUGCGUUUUGUUUACUUUUUCUUUCUCUUUGUUUGUUUGUUUUAAUGUGGUAAUCAGGGGUGGGGUUGGGUAUUGUGUUAGGCACACGUACACAUAUCGGCGUGUGGUUGGUACAAUUAUAUUUGGAAAAUUAAUUUAAACUAUAGGAUUAAUACACGUGGAAGGCUCAAUUUAUUGGGUUUGUGUAAAAAAUAGCACCGCGUAUCUGAAUUAUAAUUUAUGACAGUAAUUUGAAUUUUUGUUAGUUCUGUUAAGUGGUAUUUGACGUAUCACUGUCUCGCAUCUUGCGUGGCAGAUUGAGAGAUGACGUGGCUGGCGGUGAAAAAUUGUUUUGCCAUGUCUUAACUAUUCACCACCCUAACCCCCUAAUUCUGCAUCCCUAAUAUUGCGAUUGACGAUUCGCCUUCGAUCUUCUUCUCUGCAGCUAUCACCUUUCUCAGUUCAAACCCAACAACCCUGCAGUAAUGGAGUUAAAACAAGUAUAGAUCCUGAUGCCGAAAUCUGCCGUACAGCUAUUGUACAUCGUUCGUCGGAGGGACAGGUUGUGGUAUUUGUUCACCUGGAUAUACCAUGGCCGAUGGGGUCAGACAGAUUUUUGGGGAGGAUGAUAUUUUUAUGAAAUGCUCACGCAAUGCAGCGCAAUCUAUUGGGGAUAACAUUCAAUCCCAUAUCAAUAGCCGAAGAAGUGAAGAGAUGUAAUAGAAGAUGACAUUCAACAACCGAUAAAAUCUCCUACCCGGGUUCUUCCAAGUACCGGAAACCAUCAAGACAACAACUUGAUUGUGCCUGUAGUUCGGCCAAUUCGAUCCUGUUGACUUACAGGAUGGACUACCAAUUCCUUUCAUAUUACUUCUAUGCUUGCUACAGGGGAAGAAAAAUGGAAGCCAUUGAGGCCGGCGGUCUCGUCAAGAAUAGAGGAUCGAAGAUAAGGAGGAAUAAAAGGAAGAGGAC